Molecule: long non-coding RNA, 358 nt
Filed under: Mustela putorius furo (domestic ferret)
Lineage: Eukaryota; Metazoa; Chordata; Mammalia; Carnivora; Mustelidae
Description: lncRNA (ENSMPUG00000029174.1)
Source: RNAcentral
UGAUAUGUUAUUUCCAUUUCAGGGGAAAAUGGAGACAGACAGAAAGACGAGCUGGGUUGCUUAAGGACCCUGGAUGAGAAGCGUCGAGUGCUGCCCGAGAGCCAAGUCUUCCCUCCCUCGCCAUCACUCAGAACCUCCCUCGCCUACUCAGAACCACAAGUCAAAAGAGAGCUUACAAACCAGACCUUGCCGCGCAUGUGGUAUGUCACAGGCCCAAGAUGCCACGAUUGGAUCAGGAGCUGUCAUUGGAGAAGACUGAGAUGGCCGGGUGACCCUUUUACAGAGGCUUCUCCAAGCCCCACGGACAACAAAUCGGUGGAAAUUCCAACGUGAAGGAAGUUUAUGUGGCUUCUUUCCC